UAUACAAGGUGCUGCAUGGUUGUCGUCAGCUCGUGCCGUGAGGUGUCGGGUUAAGUCCCGAUAACCGAGCGCAACCCUACCUUUACGUUGCCAUCAGGUAAUGCUGGGGACUCUAAAGGAACUGCCUACGCAAGUAGUGAGGAAGGCGGGGAUGACGUCAAAUCAGCACGGCCCUUACGUCCAGGGCUACACACGUGCUACAAUGGCCGAUACAGAGGGCAGCUACCUGGUGACAGGAUGCAAAUCUCCAAAGUCGGUCUCAGUUCGGAUCGGAGUCUGCAACCCGACUCCGUGAAGUUGGAUUCGCUAGUAAUCGCGCAUCAGCCAUGGCGCGGUGAAUACGUUCCCGGGCCUU
Molecule: ribosomal RNA, 355 nt
Filed under: uncultured Sphingobacteriales bacterium
Lineage: Bacteria; Pseudomonadati; Bacteroidota; Sphingobacteriia; Sphingobacteriales
Description: bacterial SSU rRNA
Rfam family: Bacterial small subunit ribosomal RNA
Source: RNAcentral